RNAcentral lists this long non-coding RNA (559 nucleotides) under Mytilus galloprovincialis (Mediterranean mussel). The record is from RNAcentral. Lineage: Eukaryota; Metazoa; Mollusca; Bivalvia; Mytilida; Mytilidae.
AUUCAAAAUAAGUGGACCACUCUUUUAGAAAAAGUUGUUUAAAAUAUGAUGUAACUCUCCUCUUUUUGAGUACAAAAUUCUCAGUUUUCAAAGAUUUUGCAUAGAAGAACUAUACAAAUCCUUGGUAUUUCUAUUUUCUUUUCUACAUCAGUAAACUGACCCCUUGUCUGAGGGAGGGUUGUUCUCAACCUGAUAAUAACAAACACAGGUCAAAGUAUGGCCUUUUACACAGGGCUUUGAUACAGACCAAACAGCAGGCUAUAAAGGACCCCAAAAAUAUUAGCGUACACAAUUCGAACAGGAAAACCAACGAUCUAAUUUAUAUAUAUCAUGUAUAUCCAAACGGGAAAAUACCAAUGAACAACAGCAGUCAGCAACAAACACUAACUGCUGAACGACAGGCCCCUCAAUCAAUCAGGACAGGUGCAUAAACAUGCAGCGGCUAUUGAUAGUUUUGUUUCGCCAGCAUACAAUAUAAUUGCAGUUGAAGGCAAAUCCUUCAGAAGUUCUUUGUACUUUAUUCUAACAACGAAUAUUUUUUGAUAGGGAAUAUAAGUAU